CACAAGUGGUAGAGGAGCGUUCUGUAAGCCGUUGAAGGUUGUCCGGGAGGAUGGCUGGAGGUAUCAGAAGUGCGAAUGCUGACAUGAGUAACGACAAGGGGAGUGAAAAACUUCCCCGCCGAAAGACCAAGGGUUCCUAUCCCAUGCUAAUCAGGGUAGGGUAAGUCGGCCCCUAAGGCGAGGCUGAAGAGCGUAGUCGAUGGGAAACGGAUUAAUAUUUCCGUACCGGCAAUACUGCGAUGGGGGGACGGAGAAGGCUAGGCAGGCGCGGCGUUGGUAGUCCGCGUGAAAGUGCGUAGGCAGAAGAGUUAGGAAAAUCCGGCUCUUUAAUGCUGAGACACGAGACGAGACUCUACGGAGUCGAAGCUGUUGAUGCCCUGCUUCCAGGAAAAGCCUCUAAGCUUCAGGUAUUGACGACCGUACCCGAAACCGACACAGGUGGUCAGGUAGAGCAUACCAAGGCGCUUGAGAGAACUCUGCUGAAGGAACUAGGCAAAAUAGUACCGUAACUUCGGGAGAAGGUACGCUCUUGGGUGUGAAGGACUUGCUCCGUAAGCACACGAGAGUCGCAGUGACCAGCUGGCUGCAACUGUUUAUUAAAAACACAGCACUCUGCAAACACGAAAGUGGACGUAUAGGGUGUGACGCCUGCCCGGUGCCGGAAGGUUAAUUGAUGGGGUUAGCGCAAGCGAAGCUCUUGAUCGAAGCCCCGGUAAACGGCGGCCGUAACUAUAACGGUCCUAAGGUAGCGAAAUUCCUUGUCGGGUAAGUUCCGACCUGCACGAAUGGCGUAAUGAUGGCCAGGCUGUCUCCAGCAGAGACUCAGUGAAAUUGAAAUUGCGGUGAAGAUGCCGUAUACCCGCGGCUAGACGGAAAGACCCCGUGAACCUUUACUAUAGCUUGGCACUGAACAUUGACCCUACAUGUGUAGGAUAGGUGGGAGGCUUUGAAGCGGGGACGCCAGUUCUCGUGGAGCCAUCCUUGAAAUACCACCCUUGUAUGUUUGAUGUUCUAACGACGGCCCGUUAUCCGGGCUUCGGACAGUGUCUGGUGGGUAGUUUGACUGGGGCGGUCUCCUCCUAAAGAGUAACGGAGGAGCACGAAGGUUGGCUAAGUACGGUCGGACAUCGUACGGUUAGUGUAAUGGUAGAAGCCAGCUUAACUGCGAGACAGACACGUCGAGCAGGUACGAAAGUAGGUCAUAGUGAUCCGGUGGUUCUGUAUGGAAGGGCCAUCGCUCAACGGAUAAAAGGUACUCCGGGGAUAACAGGCUGAUACCGCCCAAGAGUUCAUAUCGACGGCGGUGUUUGGCACCUCGAUGUCGGCUCAUCACAUCCUGGGGCUGAAGUCGGUCCCAAGGGUAUGGCUGUUCGCCAUUUAAAGUGGUACGCGAGCUGGGUUUAGAACGUCGUGAGACAGUUCGGUCCCUAUCUGCCGUGGGCGUUGGAUAAUUGAGUGGAGUUGCUCCUAGUACGAGAGGACCGGAGUGAACGAACCGCUGGUGUUCGGGUUGUCAUGCCAAUGGCACUGCCCGGUAGCUAUGUUCGGAACGGAUAACCGCUGAAAGCAUCUAAGCGGGAAGCCGGCCACAAGAUGAGUUAUCCCUCAGACUAUAAGUCUGCUAAAGGGUCGUUG
This 1635-nucleotide ribosomal RNA is filed under the name Alkalimonas delamerensis. RNAcentral describes it as "partial 23S ribosomal RNA". It matches the Rfam family "Bacterial large subunit ribosomal RNA", at positions 1220 to 2840 of the family's 2925-position model. Lineage: Bacteria; Pseudomonadati; Pseudomonadota; Gammaproteobacteria. The record is from RNAcentral.